RNAcentral lists this long non-coding RNA (370 nucleotides) under Ananas comosus (pineapple). RNAcentral's name for it is "long non-coding RNA (ACOM_LNC028896)". Lineage: Eukaryota; Viridiplantae; Streptophyta; Magnoliopsida; Poales; Bromeliaceae. The record is from RNAcentral.
UUUUAUAAAAUUCAUAAAAUUGUGAAUCUAUUAAAAUAAAUAAUUAGCUUAAAUUUUACAUCCGAAUAAUUAUUAAAUAAAUUAAAUCAAAUAAAUUGAGAGAUUGAGUACUAAAAUUAAAAUUUUGAAAGGUUGGAUAAUCAAAUUAAAAUUGUAUGUGGUUCAGAUAAAUUUUAUACAUUUGUUUUAAUUUUAAAUACAAAAUAAUCAUAUAUUGUCUAAAUCGGUGCCACGUGAAUAGCAGAUAUACUGUGUUUACGUAAUACUUUUUUAAUACGGUAAACUAAUUAACACUCACACCACGUAAAUUUAUAUAUUGUGAUAAAAUUACUCCCUCCUCCCAACCAUCAAUAAAUUAAAAAAAAAAAUU